Molecule: long non-coding RNA, 1898 nt
Organism: Thunnus maccoyii (southern bluefin tuna)
Lineage: Eukaryota; Metazoa; Chordata; Actinopteri; Scombriformes; Scombridae
Exons: 3
Source: RefSeq, a predicted model, not a curated record
UGACUUUAUAUUCAGUUCCCAAAAGCAUAGAAGCAAUUCAGGAGAAGUAAUCCCUUCAUUUUGUGGCAAGAUAAGGGGAACCUUUGAUGCCAAGGCACAAACCAAAUUUGUCCACCAACUAUAGGCCAUAAAACUUAACAGGUAUGAAACAGAUUUUAGUAAUUAUGGCUUUAAAUUACAAGUUUACUGAGAGAAAAAAUAACAGAACAUGAAAAAUCUCACAAGAUCAAAACAGUGGAAAACAAGCUACAAUGAAGAAGUGUAAGAAUUAAAUAAACAACCCGAUCACACUGAAGCCGUCUUUCCACACAGUAGCUGGAAAACAAGGAUUAAUAGAAACAUGAAACCCAUUAUUUAACUCUCAUUCCACCACUUCACAGUACAAUGAGAACAUGAUGAAAUUUGUAAGUGCCUGUCACGGCGAAGGGGUUUACUGUGACUGUCAGCCUGCAUUCAGUGUGUGUAAUAGCUACUUGAGACACCGUCUAAAAACACUUCAAACAAUGAAGGUUCUGAAUGAAGGUUUGUUGUGAUGGACAGACACUAUGACACAGCGAGGAGCCGUCUACCUUUUCACGAUAAUGAACAUCUUAAUGUGAUCUGAAGCUGUAAAGAAUGUGCUGCGGGGGAUAAUCUUACACAUUAAUGUGAGUCUUGCAUAAAGCCCUAAAGUGUCUAUAUGUGUGUGUCAGUGUGUGUGUGUGUGUGUAUGUGUCAUGUAUAUUUGAACAGACAGACCUUUGGUGUAUUUCUACUUUUUCUCUACUUUUUACAGACUCUAGCUCCAGUUUGGGUAUUUCUUGUAGCGCAUCCUGCCGCACCUCCCACAUUUCUAAAGAACACUUAAAAGGAUGAAAGUUUUCUAUGCAGUUUAAGCCAUCAAAGCAUUAACGCGGAAUUUUCUUUUUUUUUAACUGAACAGGUAUAUCCAGCGUAUUAGUCAAAAAACCCUGUGAUCUCCUAAAUCCAACGGAAUGUUUUUGGAGUUGAAUGAGUUCCUGUCUGACAAUCAAGACUGACGGUCAGAGGUGAAGGUCAACUCCUGAUACCAUAGAAAAGGAGCAGCAUGGCAACACAGCAAGGGCUGUUGAGUCACCUGAACCCAAGCAGCUGGGAAUGUUGUUUGCUGAUGUGUCUCCUCUGCAAAUCGACACCUCAUAGCCUCAAAGCUCACCGACACCACUUGCUGACAAAUGAUUUACUGGUCAAAGGGGCUGUGGACAUGCACAUGUUUACGAUUGAUAUAUUAUGCUAGUAGCAUUAGCGCAGUGCCACAUAUUUCUUAAAAGUUUAAAACGCUCAAGCAGUUUUAUAAAUUAUUCUGAAUUGGUGAAUGUGAUAAUUGUUGUUUAUGGGCUUUGGUUAGCUAAUGACGCUGACUAACGUGCUGUAGUUGCUAUGCAAUUUUAGUGUUUUAAUUAGUGUUUGCAUCAUUUUAUUUUUGGUAAACUAACAUAAACCUUUACUAUUCCACAUGUAUAUUUGUGUAUAUUGAUUGUUGUACUUCAUUAUACUGUUUAAAUACAGUACAUAUGUAUUAUAAAAAAUGCAAAAACUGAAUACCUUUGAUAUGUAAAUGUAAGGUUUUUUGAUCUUGUUACAUUCUCUAUAGCACAAGAUGCAAAAAGUUGUCGCCUCAUCGACUGAUAUUUAUUAUAUAAUUUCAGUGUGCUUGUAAGCACUCGGCAGGUGUUGCAGCAGUAGAAUAACAGUAUAAUUGCUUUUAAGUAAUAUAACACAGAGAGUUCCAUGUGUUUACAUGCUGUUGUACACUUGGGGUUCAGGUUCAGUACAUGUGUGUGAAUGUGUUAAGUGUUGUCGCUGGCAAUAAAGCGUGUUAUGUAACAAACACAAAGUGUGAACUGCUCCACGGAAACACAUUCAUUUCGCAAAUGAAC